UGGGAGGAAGCCCCUUCACCUGAUGUCAAGGGGAGCUGGUGGCCGGGGUUUUACCACACAGCCCUUCAGCAUCACCCCUGAGGUCACGUGGGUGAGCAAUGCCUCAGUGGGCUGGGGGUAAGAGGUGCCUCAGUGGGGGCCGGGGGGUGUGAGUGGUGCCUCAGUGGGCCGGGGGUGAAUGGUGCCUGCACAGCUGUGCGGGGUGUGCCUGGGUGGGUAGUGGAGCUUCCUCAGCAGAGAAUGGGGUGUGGGGAUCUCAGGGCUGCAUUCCCAGACUCUGCAGAGAGUGAACUCUGGAGAGUGAGGCCCUGGGGUUCUGUUGUUCUCUGGGAGGAAUGGGGUUGGGGCCCUCGUCAGCAGGGCCCAUGGGCACCACAGUGAGACCCUGGGCUGCCUCCACACGAGGACUCACCUUCUCCCCCUUGGGGCCAUCGCUGCCUGGGCUGCCCUUGGUGCCGGGGUCUCCCCUGCGCCCCUGCAGAGAACAGGCGUGUGGGUGAGGGAGGGGGCUGAGUCCAAGCCCAGAGCCUGUGGAGGGUGGGGGCUGUGCCGGGGCCGAUGCUCCUUCUCUACAGGAGGGCUCUGGCUUUGGGACCUGGGACCUCGAUCCCCAGGCUCCUUCCCAACAGCCUCAGCCUGCGCCAGUGGCUCUGCUGCCAGCCCUCGUCCCUCUGCUGCGUCGGUCCCGCCCAUGCCGAGGAUUUAGGAAUGAUCUGGGGAGGCUCCAGGUGGAGUUGGAUGUCUGAGCCCAAUGCGGCACCAUGGUGACAGCAGAGAUGGUGGCCAGCGUGACUGUUCAUCUGGGCCAUGGGCGUGAGUGUGGCCAGCUCAGCUGCAGGCGAAGAGGCAGAGGGGCUCACCUUGCUUCCCUUGGCCCCGAUUUCUCCCGGGGGCCCUCUGCGUCCUGGGCGGCCAGGGUCCCCCUGGAAGGGUUUGCAGAAUCAGCCUCACGUCUUUUGGCAGGGGAAGGGGGGUGCAGGAUGCCCGCUGCGGGGGCAGGACCCACGGUCGGGCUUGGGACUGCACCUCCCUGAUGUCCACGGGGCACCUGGGAUGCCAGAUGCUGGCUGGGGGCUGCUGGAACCUCCGUGCCAGCUGAGGGCAGAGUGUGUGUCACGGGCAGGACGCCUGUGCAUCUGCUCAGAGGACUCAGCCAGACUUGGGCUUGGGCUGAGGGAAGGUGGACAGAAAGUGGGAAGCCCUAAGUCCAAGCUCCCAGAAAAAAGCCCUUGGGGAUCCUGGGGCCGCCAGGGGCGGGGCGACACUGCAGGCGGCCCAGGAGGGCAGAGCCCCUGGGGCACCAACGUUCCCAUGGGGAGCUCCAGGAGGUGUGGGUGGGGCUCCCUGGGGCUCCACCUGGGAGGAGGUGGGUUUGUUGCCGAGGCCUCGGUGAGCAGCGGCGGGGCCGCCCAAGCCCUGGUUAGAAGCUGAUGAAGCAACGGGCAGGGCACCCUCCACCACAUCCCACGGCCAUUGGCUCCUCACUGACCAGUGUUUCCAGAAAGGCCCUCUCUGCUCAGCUUCUCAGCUGGGGCUGCCUCCAGGAGGCCCCUGGAAGCUGGUGACCCCGCCUGCCCCGUACCCUGACAAGGCCACUUACCUUGCCGCCUUGGUCUCCUCGCUCCCCUGGACUCCCUGCUUCCCCCGGGUAACCGUCGGGGCCCUGAGAGAGGAGUGAGAGGUGGAGCUCGGCACACGGCGGGUGGGGUUCUCCCCAUGAGCCAGGGCCCAAGUGCUCCAUUGUCCCAGCCCGGGACGCACCUCCCACCCUCACUGUGAGGCCCAGGCUCAGUGACCAAGAGGCCAGGCCUGGAUCUGCUGCUCAGGGAAAUGGAGCUGUCCAGUGACACCGAAGUUUGGGAUGCAUCAGGUCUCCAGGCCACGGGGAUCCGCCAGGAGCUCCCAGGGGGAGUUCCUCACAUGACUCCGACCCGGCAGAAUGCUGGGCUGGGGCUGCUGGGCUGGGGCUGCUGGGCUGCCGGGAGAACCCACGCUCCCACUGCAGCAGCAACUACCCUCCCACCCGGUCAGGCACCCACACCCCCUGGGCCGAGGCUGAAGGAGGGGUGCAAACGGCCCUUACCCGGUUUCCAGGGUCUCCCUUGCAGCCAGGAGGUCCGAUGCGCCCCAGCUUGCCCUGAAGGAGAAGGGGGCAGGAGGAGUCUCAGGGCGGGGUUCUGGGGUCCAUGUGUGCCAACGACCAAGACACAGCCCACCCGGUUCUGCCCCGCAGGGCUGCAGCGCUCUCCUCCUGGCACACGGGUGCCCACAUGAGGCCACGGCUGCUGUGGAGCUGUCUCCGGGGAGGCAGAGUGGCCGUUGUGCAGGAACAGGCCAUCCCUGGCUGCCUCCCAGAGGCCCUGAGGGCAGAGCUCCCUGGGCACAGAGGAUGUUCCCACGGGGAGCCAUGGAAGGAGUGGGUGGGGCUGUCCUGUGGUUUGACCUGGGAGUGGGUAGGCUUGUUGCUGGCCUCUGUGUGCAGCUGUGGAGCUGCCCCAAGCCGGGAUGUGCAGCCAUGAAUUAGAUGCAGGCUGGUGAAGCCCUGGGUGGGGCAGUGGGAUGUGGCAGGAGCUGAAGUUCGUGUGUGUGUGUGUGUGUGUGUGUGUGUGUAUGCGUGUGUACACAUGUGUAAGCUGACAGAUCAGGCUGGAUCUGGGGGCCCUGCAGAGGCUGGGAUGCCUCUGUGAGACCAGUCCAGCUGUGAGCCCGAGGCUCCCUCUACCUUCUGUCCAUCGGUCCCGUUCUUGCCAGCCAGGCCAGGGGCCCCCUGAAGAGAGAAGGAAGAGGGAACUCCAUUAGCCCCGGUCCUUCUGCCCUGAGCAGCAGGAAGGAGGGGCUCUGCCUACCCAGCCAGCCUACCUUGCGACCGUCGGCUCCAAAUUCACCCUGUGUAGGAGGAAAGCCGGCGCAGUGAGCUCGGUGCCUCAAAGCAUCAUGGGCACUGCUGCCUCUGGGGGGCAAAGCCCUUGGGCCAAACUCAAGGCCACAGGACCCCCCAGGAGCCCCCAAAGCCACCACUGAG
This 3022-nucleotide long non-coding RNA is filed under the name Homo sapiens (human). RNAcentral's name for it is "non-protein coding lnc-FTCD-5:1". Lineage: Eukaryota; Metazoa; Chordata; Mammalia; Primates; Hominidae. The record is from RNAcentral.